This 460-nucleotide ribosomal RNA is filed under the name uncultured bacterium. RNAcentral describes it as "partial 16S ribosomal RNA". It matches the Rfam family "Bacterial small subunit ribosomal RNA", at positions 338 to 795 of the family's 1533-position model. The record is from RNAcentral.
CCUACGGGUGGCAGCAGUGAGGAAUAUUGGUCAAUGGACGAGAGUCUGAACCAGCCAAGUAGCGUGAAGGAUGACUGCCCUAUGGGUUGUAAACUUCUUUUAUAAAGGAAUAAAACGAGGCACGUGUGCCUUUUUGCGUGUACUUUAUGAAUAAGGAUCGGCUAACUCCGUGCCAGCAGCCGCGGUAAUACGGAGGAUCCGAGCGUUAUCCGGAUUUAUUGGGUUUAAAGGGAGCGUAGAUGGGUUGUUAAGUCAGUUGUGAAAGUUUGCGGCUCAACCGUAAAAUUGCAAUUGAUACUGGCAGUCGUGAGUACAGUUGAGGGAGGCGGAAUUCGUGGUGUAGCGGUGAAAUGCUUAGAUAUCACGAAGAACCCCGAUUGCGAAGGCAGCUUACUAAACUGUGACUGACAUUGAUGCUCGAAAGUGUGGGUAUCAAACAGGAUUAGAUACCCCAGUAGUC